Molecule: ribosomal RNA, 254 nt
Filed under: uncultured bacterium
Lineage: Bacteria
Description: partial 16S ribosomal RNA
Rfam family: Bacterial small subunit ribosomal RNA
Source: RNAcentral
UACGGGGGGAGCAAGCGUUGUUCGGAUUUACUGGGCGUAAAGGGCGCGUAGGCGGUCAGCACAAGUCAGUUGUGAAAUCUCCGGGCUUAACCCGGAAAGGUCAACCGAUACUGCGGGGCUAGAGUGCAGAAGGGGCAACUGGAAUUCUCGGUGUAGCGGUGAAAUGCGUAGAUAUCGAGAGGAACACCUGCGGCGAAGGCGGGUUGCUGGGCUGACACUGACGCUGAGGCGCGAAAGCUAGGGGAGCGAACGGG